RNAcentral lists this ribosomal RNA (497 nucleotides) under uncultured bacterium. Its description in RNAcentral is "partial 16S ribosomal RNA". It matches the Rfam family "Bacterial small subunit ribosomal RNA", at positions 28 to 507 of the family's 1533-position model. The record is from RNAcentral.
GAUGAACGCUGGCGGCGUGCCUAAUACAUGCAAGUCGAGCGAACAGACGAGGAGCUUGCUCCUCUGAUGUUAGCGGCGGACGGGUGAGUAACACGUGGAUAACCUACCUAUAAGACUGGGAUAACUUCGGGAAACCGGAGCUAAUACCGGAUAACAUGUUGAACCGCAUGGUUCAACAGUGAAAGACGGUCUUGCUGUCACUUAUAGAUGGAUCCGCGCCGCAUUAGCUAGUUGGUAAGGUAACGGCUUACCAAGGCAACGAUGCGUAGCCGACCUGAGAGGGUGAUCGGCCACACUGGAACUGAGACACGGUCCAGACUCCUACGGGAGGCAGCAGUAGGGAAUCUUCCGCAAUGGGCGAAAGCCUGACGGAGCAACGCCGCGUGAGUGAAGAAGGUCUUCGGAUUGUAAAACUCUGUUAUUAGGGAAGAACAAAUGUGUAAGUAACUAUGCACGUCUUGACGGUACCUAAUCAGAAAGCCACGGCUAACUACGUG